Non-coding RNA from Paramisgurnus dabryanus, 702 nucleotides. Lineage: Eukaryota; Metazoa; Chordata; Actinopteri; Cypriniformes; Cobitidae. The record is from RefSeq and is a predicted model, not a curated record.
UUAUUGUCCUUUUUAUAAAUUUUCUUCUUAAAAAUCUUAUUAUGGUAAGGAUAAUGUAUUUGUUCCCUUCAGGUAUCUGCCACUGCAGCUGACGUUGAGACAACUCUCAGUCUUCCUGCAAGUCCUCGCCUGAUACCUGUUUCAAGUGCAACAAGGCAAGUCACAAUUAAGGGUUGGAUGAUCACCUUUAAGGGCUCUGAGGGCAUCACACCAACAUUUGCAAUUGGACUUGCUGCUAUGUUUGCAACCUACUACAUUUUCAGCCUUCAGUAUCAACAUGAGACAGCCUGCCCUCUGGAAUUCAUUCAGAGGCACUUCAUUGAUAUAAAUCAAGAGAGAGGAACAAAUGCCAAAAUCAUCAGACAAGAUUGUCUCUAAGAAGAAAGGUGUGAUCGUCCAGAAGUCGUCUUCUGCAGUUAAAUACACACGUGGCCAUGCUACUGAAGAAUCUCCUUGACUUUUUAAUGGAACUUCAUAUAGAUCGUGGCAGCACUGGAAUAAUGCUGCAGAGAGGAACAGCGGCUACUAAAGUGAUGAUCGUCUCUUCUGGAUCCACAAGAACUAAGAUGUAAAAACACAAACCUACCUCACAGGACAAUUUUAAGAGGUAACCUGCAAGUCUAGCUUGCAGUGGCACAUGUGCCUAUACGGUUUCAUCCUAAAUGUUUUUUAUGCUUAUUAUUGAUACAUCCUGACAAAAUG